CCUACGGUGGGCAGCAGUCGAGAAUCAUUCACAAUGGGGGAAACCCUGAUGGUGCGACGCCGCGUGGGGGAAUGAAGGUCUUCGGAUUGUAAACCCCUGUCAUGUGGGAGCAAAUUAAAAAGAUAGUACCACAAGAGGAAGAGACGGAGAACUCUGUGCCAGCAGCCGCGGUAAUACAGAGGUCUCAAGCGUUGUUCGGAAUCACUGGGCGUAAAGCGUGCGUAGGCUGUUUCGUAAGGCGUGUGUGAAAGGCGCGGGCUCAACCCGCGGACGGAACAUGAUACUGCGAGACUAGAGUAAUGGAGGGGGAACCGGAAUUCUCGGUGUAGCAGUGAAAUGCGUAGAUAUCGAGAGGAACACUCGUGGCGAAGGCGGGUUCCUGGACAUUAACUGACGCUGAGGCACGAAGGCCAGGGGAGCGAAAGGGAUUAGAUACCCCAGUAGUC
This 446-nucleotide ribosomal RNA is filed under the name uncultured bacterium. RNAcentral describes it as "partial 16S ribosomal RNA". It matches the Rfam family "Bacterial small subunit ribosomal RNA", at positions 338 to 795 of the family's 1533-position model. The record is from RNAcentral.